This 907-nucleotide long non-coding RNA is filed under the name Monodelphis domestica (gray short-tailed opossum). RNAcentral describes it as "lncRNA (ENSMODG00000035316.2)". Lineage: Eukaryota; Metazoa; Chordata; Mammalia; Didelphimorphia; Didelphidae. The record is from RNAcentral.
AUGCCCUCAUCCUCCCUCACAAGGUUCCUGCGGAAAAACGGCCACGCAUUUCCGGUGUGUUCUUGGCACGUUUCACUCCCUUGGCUCCGCCUCUUUUCGCUGAGGAGGCGAGGUGGGUCCACACCUCCGAUUUUCCGUUCUGUCCACACUGGCUCUUGGACCUCUAAGAAGCACGAGGAGCGGAAAUUAGACAGAGCAGAAGUCCGGGCAAAUUGUUGGUUUAGAAUCAAGAUUCCCUUCAUCUCGCCCUUGGAACAAGGAAAGCGUGGUAGAGACCGUUGGGUAAAAUGUGAGGAAUGGAAGCGUAGCAGUGGCUGUAGGUCUGUCACGCAAGUUCUGCUUCUGACCUCAAAGGAUUAUGGUGAGAAAAAUAUUUGGUAAACCUUAAAACGCAGAACAAAUAUCCAGUAAGACUGAGUGGACAGGAAAGAAUUCAUCAAUCUGAGCGGAAAUGCCAGGAAAUCUUCAGCAUUGUGGAAGACUUGUUCCUGGACCCUGGAAAAAGAAUAAUACACAUCCUUGACUUUGAGACUUAUAAACUAAGUAGUAAAAGUAAGAAACUUACACAGAUAACCAUAAUACAGGAUGGAUUAGGGAAAGUUCCAAGAUGCAAGAUGGCAGUGGGAGGGGUAAGACCCAGGAAAGCUGAGGCAUUGGAACCAGCCAGAUGAAGGAGAAAGCCAGGAAAGGAAAAGCAUGGAAAGCAAGAGGAAGAAUGAAGAUGAUGAGACUAAGUCAAAGUGAGUGUCAAAUAGGCAUCUGUAAGGGACAGAACGAAGCACAGAGCACAGGGGCUGGCUGAACUGGGCAUCACUGGGAUGGCAGGAGUCUAGGACUAUACAUGUUUUCCAUGCUUCUGAUAAUUAUCUCAAAUAAAAAGUAGUUUUAAUCUAAAUGUAUUUAGAAC